ACAUAAAAACCUUCGUAAAGUAGUUCAAAUCAAAAUAAAAGUACGGAAGAAAAAGCCCGACAUCGGGGUGACACUAGUCAUGAUCAUCUACUACAAUCUGUCUAACAAUAUCAAGGCUAACUCAGCCUGAAAAAUAGCUAAUACAACUAGAGGAAGAUAAGAGGGAGAAGAGCAGGGCUGCAAUCACCACACAGCUACCUUGCUAUCCCCGGGAAAAUCUGCAAUCAGAACAAUCAACAGUCGCUACCGUGUCCAUCUACACCUGGAUCUUCACACAAGGUGCAGGGAGUAAUGUGAGUACUCCAACUCAGUAAGUAACAAUAAUAAAUAAAGACUGAGCAGUAGUGACGAGCAAUAAAUCAUAUAACAUCCAUAUCAGGAAAUCUCAGAAAAAUACCACAUGCUUUUAAAAUCAGGAUUUGAAUUAAAACAUCUCGUUUAAACCAGUUCCAGUAAAAAAUCAUUUAAAGAUAUUUUUUAACAGUUUUCAAACAGAGAAAAAAUGCAAAGGUGAGCAAAAAUGAUGAAAUCAUAAAUAUCCCAGCGGGCAAAACAUCACUCAUAUACAGCCCCUCGGGCAAACCUCACAGUCACUCGUGCCACUCGGGUAUACCUCACAAUCACUCUUGCCACUCGGGCAUACCUCACAAUCACUCAUGCCUCCCAGUCACUCAGCACUCGACACUCGCACUCAGUAGGUACCUGCGCUCACUGGGGGUAUGUACAGACUCCGGAGGGGCUCCUUCAGCCCAAGCGCUAUAAUCUGCACGGACAACUCACGUGCUAUAGUAAUAAAGUAUACCGAUCCACACUCAUCCUCACAAAUCAGGCCAUCAGCCUCACUCAGUCAUAAACCUCUCAAGCCACUCGGGCAUUUCAGUAAAACAAGGCAUUCGGCCCAAAACAUUUAUAUGCAUCAAAAUAGAGUCAUAAAACUGAGUUAUGCAGUAAAUAGGUAUAACCAUGACUGAGUAUAUAUUUUCAAUCGAAAACAAUGAGAGGAUAGUAAGAAAAGUCCCCUAAGGGUCCAAACAGUACUGGCACAAGGCCCAAACAUGGCAUUCAGUCUAAUUUACAGAAACUCUUUGUAAAACAUAUAAGUAUCAUAUAGUUUCAUCAAAGUAUGCAACUUUACAGUUGCUAUGGGAUGGACCAAGUCACAAUCCCCAAUAAUGCACACCCACAUGCCUGUCACCUAGCAUGUGCGUCACUAAAAAUAGUAGAAUGAUACGAAAUCCGGGGUUUCAUACCCUCAGGACUAGAUUUAUAAUUGUUACUUACCUCAAACCGGUCAAAUCUCUACCCCGCAAUGCUCUUGCCUCUGGACUCAACCUCCAAAUGCUCCGAAUCUAUCACAAUCAGUACAAUACCAUCAAUAUGCUCUAAUGGAAUGAAUUCCACAAGAAAAACUACAAAAUUAGACCAAAAACCAUAAAUUGGCUCAAACCCGGCCCCCGGGCCCACGUCUCGAAAUUCGACAAAACUAGAAAGCUCAUUCACUCACGAAUCUAACCAUACCAAAUUUAUCAAAAUCCGACAUCGUUUAGUACUUCAAAUCCUUAAAUUACUCUCCAAAAAUUCCAAGUCCUAACCCCUCAUUUUCACUAAUUAUAUGAUUAAACAAUGGUAAAUCACCAUAUAUACGAGUAUUAGGGCUCAAGCAACUUAUCUCACUGAUAGCCCUUGAAUCACCCUUCAAACAUCACUCCAAAAGCUCCAAAAACUGACUUGAAAAUGGUGGAAAUGAACCAAAAUCGCGAAGGGUUCUAUUUAUGGUUUCUGCCUAGGUUUUUCGCACCUGAGGAAACUUGCACCCUUCUGCGCCACCGCACCUGCAGAAAUAUCCAUCGCAGGUGCAAAACUCACUUAGGAGCCCAGUUUCCGCAUCUGCGGCCCAAAACCCCGCUUCUGCGAAGGCGCACCUGCGCGUCUCCUCCGCUUCUGCGAAGCCUGCCCAGUAUUGCCCGCACCAGCGGCCUCGCACCUGUGACUCUUUCUUCCGCAGGUACGAAAAUAGCAGUAGCAACAACUUCAGCUGCAUUUUCCAACUUCGACAAAUCCGUUAACCACCCGGAAUCACCCAGAGGCCCUCGGGACCUCAACCAAAAAUACCAACAAGUCAUAUAUUAACAUACCAACUUAGUCGAACCUUCGAAUCACUCAAAACAAUAUCAAAUCAUCAAAUUUCCCUCGGAUUCAAGCCUAAGAACUUCUAAAUUUUCAAAUUCGGCAACCGAUGCCGAAACCAACCAAACCACGUCCGAAUGACCUCAAAUUUUGCACACACGUCACAAAUGACACUACGAACCUAUUCCAACUUCCGAAAUUCCUCUCUGACCCCGAUAUCAAAUUUUCUACUGCCGAUCGAAAUCGCCAAAUUUUUAAUUUCGCCAAUUCAAGCCUAAUUCUACCAUGGACCUCCAAAUUACAUUCCGGUCGCACUCCUAAGUCCAAAAUCACCUAAUGAAGCUAAUGAAACCAUCAGAAUUCCAAUACGAUAUCAAAUGCUAAAGAGUCAAAUUUUGGUCAACUCUCCCAAUUUAAAGCUCCAACAAUAAAAUUCUUUCUUCCAAUUCGAUUCCGAAAUACCUGCAACCCAAAAUCGAUGAUUCACACAAUUCAAAGUACAUCAUACGGAGCUACUCAUGCCCUCAAACAACUGAGCGAAGUGCAAAUAUUCAAAACGAUUGAUCGGGUUGUUACACUAUGUCUUUAGUCCUCAACCUACGGACUUGCCUAUCAAGAAUCUCAACCGGUUCUUCAUCAUAAGUUAAACCGUCAUUUAUUUCUACUACCUCCGGUGAGAUGAUGUGAGCAGGAUCGGGCACAUACCCUCGUAGCAUCGAUACAUGAAAAACAGGAUGAACUAAAGUCAUCGAUGCAAGUAACUCCAACUUGUAAGCUACUUCACUAAUCUUUUUCAAGACUCGAUACGGACCAAUGAAUCUAGGACUUAGCUUGACCUUCUUCCCAAAUCUCAUAACACCCUUCAUUGGCGAUACCUUCAAGAACACUUGAUCACCCUCUUUAAACUCCAACUUACGUCGAUGUACAUAUAUAUAGUUUUUUUGUUGACUCUGAGAGGUCUUAAGCCAUUGUUGAAUCAAAGCCACCUUAUCUAAGGCAUCAUGUACAAGAUAUAGACCAAGUAGUCCUACCUCAGUUGGCUCAAACCACCCAAUAUGUGAUCUACAACAUCGUCCAUACAAAGCCGCAUAGGGAGCCAUCUAGAUACUAGCUUGAUAGCUAUUAUUGUAGGAAAAUUCAAUCAGAGGUAAGUGUUCAUCCAAUUCCCACCACAAUCAAGUACACAAGCUCGCAACAUAUCCUCAACCGUCUGAAUAGUCCUCUCAGCCUGUCCGUCAGUCUAUGGAUGAAAAGCGGUACUCAAAUUGACACUUGUACCCAAUCUUUCUUGAAAGGACUGCCAAAAGUGAGCAGUAAACUGGGUCCCUCUAUCAGAUAUAAUGGAAACUGGAAUACCGUGAAGUCUGAAUUUCUUUCAAGUAUAACUUAGCAUACUGUGGUGCCGUGUUAGUCAUCUUUACCGGUAAGAAAUGUGCCGACUUUGUAAGUCAGUCUACAAUCACCCAAAUAGAGUCAUGGUUCAAGCAAGUGUGAGGCAAACCUACAACAAAGUCCAUAUUAAUCAUCUCUCACUUCCAAAGUGGAAUAUCGAUAUUCUGAGCCAACAUACCAGGUCUUUGAUCCUCAGCUUUUACUUGUUGGCAAUUUAAACAUCUAACCACGAAGUCCGAAACGUUUUCCUUCAUCUGAUUCCACCAAUAGAUCUCCCGUAAGUCCUUGUACAUUUUUGUGGACCCUGAAUAUAUAUAAUAUCUCGAACCAUGUGCCUCAAUCAUAAUUGUAUUACGAAAUCCAUCAACAUCUAGCAUGCACAAGCGACUGUUCAUCCUCAACACCCCAUCCUUGUCAAGAGAAAAAAUAAGGAUAUUUUUAGAUUGUACACCAUUUCGAAUAUUCAUCAAAUUUGGAUCUUCAAAUUGCUUAGCCUUGACAUGCUUAAUAAGUGAGGAACGUGCUAUGGCACAAGCAGCAAUAUAUUUAGCUAUCGGUAAAUAUGCCAAAGUACCUCCUGACUUUCGGCUUAGUGCAUCGGCUACCACAUUCGCCUUCCCCAGAUGGUAAUGAAUGCUUAAAUCAUAAUCCUUCAAUAGUUCUAACGAUCUCCUUUGCCUCAUGUUUAAUUCCCUCUGCUUGAAUAUAUAUUGCAAGCUUUUAUGGUCAGUAUAUAUUUCACGGUGCACACCGUACAAAUAAUGCCUCCAAAUUUUUAAAGUAAAUACCACCGCGGAAAGUUCCAAUUCAUGGGUUGGAUAGUUCUUCUCAUGGAUCUUCAAUUGUCUAGAAGCAUAAGCAAUAACCUUAUCUUUCUGCAUCAAGACACAACCCAACCCAACUCUAGAGGCGUCACAAUAUACCAUAAAGCCAUCUGAACCUGUUGGCAAGGUCAACACCGGCGUCGUAGUCAAUCUAGCUUUAAACUCUUGAAAACUUCUCUCACAAGCAUCCGACCACUGAAACUUCAUUGCAAGAGUAGAAAAUCCUUGGUUAGCGGAGAUGCAAGAGUAGAAAAUCCUUCAACAAACCGCUGAUAGUAGCCCGCUAAUCACAAGAAACUACGGAUCUCUGUCGGUGUAGUUGGUCUAGGCCAACUCUUAACUACUUCAAUCUUUUGAGGAUCAACCUUAAUACCUUCACGAGUUACCACAUGACCCAAGAAUACUAUGGAUUCAAGCCAAAAUUCACACUUAGAGAAUUUGGCAUACAACUGAUGCUCCAGAAGCGUCUGCAACACUGUCCUAAAAUGAUUGGCAUGUUUCUCUUGAUUUCUCGAAUAUACUAAUAUGUCAUCAAUGAAAACAAUCACGAACCUGUGAAGAAAUGAUUUGAAAACCCGAUUCAUUAGAUCCAUAAAGGUUGCGGGUGCAUUUUUUCCCCAAAUGACAUCACCAAAAAUUCAUAAUGCCCAUAGCGAGUCCGAAAAGUCAUUUUGGGAAUAUCCUUCUCUCGAAUUUUCAAUUGAUGAUACCCCGACCUUAAAUCAAUCUUCAAGAAGUACUUCGCCCCUUGCAACUGGUCAAACAAGUCAUCUAUUCGAGGUAAUGGAUACUUAUUCUUGACGGUCACCUUGUUAAGUUGCUUAUAGUCAAUACACAUCCUCAAAGAACCAUCUUUAUUUUGCACAAACAACACUGGUACACCCCAAGGAGAUACACUAAGUCUAAUAAACCCUUUAUCCAGUAAAUUUUUCAAUUGUUCCUUCAAUUCUGUUAACUCGGCUGGAGCCAUUCAGUACAGGGGAAUAGAUAUCGGCUGAGUAUCUGGCACUAAAUCUAUCCCAAAGUCAAUGACCCGAUCUGGUGGAAUACCCGGAAGCUCGUCAGGAAAAACAUCAAGAAACUCAUUAACAACUGGCACAUACUGAAUGCUUGUUACCUCUGCAGUUGUGUCAGUGACUCUGACUAAAUGAUAAAGAUAACCUUUUGUAAUCAUAUUCUUUGCCUUAAGGUAUGAAAUAAACUUACCUCGAGGCUCAGUAAUAUUGCCUUUCCACUCACGAACUGACUCAUUAGGAAACUCAAACUUGGCCACUUUAGCACGACAAUCAAGAAUGGCAUAACACUUGUAUAACCAAUCCAUCCCAUGAUCGCAUCAAAGUCAACCAUUUCUAACUCAAUGAGGUCUGCCGUAGUCUCUCGAUAUUGAAUUAUAAUCACACAACCCCUAUAGAUGUGGGAGGCAAUAACAAAAUCUCCCAUAGAAGUCGACAUAGAAAAUGGUUCAAGUAGUUGUUCUGGCACUAUCCCAAAAUCCAAAGCAAAGUACGGAGUAACAUAGGAAAAAAUAGAUUCGGGGUCCAUAAGAGCAUAAGCAUCUAGAGUACAAACAGUAAGUAUACAUGUGACGACAACAUCUGAAGCCUCCGCAAUAGGACGAGUAGGCAUGGUAUAGAAACGGGGAUGAGUCCCCUGGGAAGAAGUGGUUGUCUGCGGCACAUUUCCUGCAUUGCGCCCACUGUGUCCCCCAUUACCCCUAGGUGGGGGCGGUGCAACCGAAGUAGUAGCCAUAGAUGGUGACAGAUGAGCUAUCAAACCAUGUUGACCAUUAGGGCAAAACUUUCGGAUAUGACCCAUCAAUCCACAACCAUAGCACGGACUACGGGGUCCCCUGGUAGCACUAGACUGACAUUGACGAGAACCCACACUACUCAGAGCCUGCUGUGUAGUACGGUGGUCACUCUGAACGGGCCUAAACUGGCCUCCAUGUCCGGUAUUGUAUGCCAGUGGAGGGCUACUGGAAGCUGUCUGCAUCCUAGACUGCGGUGGGCCAGAUGACCAUCUGCUGCUCUGCCUCUUGCCCGAAUUAGGCACUGCACUGAAAGUGCCAAAAGUCCGGGCCUUUUUGUUCUGCUCCCUAUUGGCCCUCUCCUCCUGAUGAAUCCUCUCAAGAUCCAUUACUAAAUCCACAAAGUUAGUAAAUGUAGUGUUUCUUCUCCCACUACCUGUAUCUUUUCUGAUGCCCGAAAUCAAUUCAUGAGCAAAGCGAUCAAUCUUCUCAUCCUCAGUGGGGAUGAGGUGCGGAGCAUAACAGGAUAACUUCUCGAAUAUGAUGCUAUACUCUAGAACGAUCAUAGUAUCUUGCUUUAAGGUCUCAAACAAUAUUACAAGGGCAGCUCUUACCCCCGGUGGUAACGACUUCUUAAUGAAGAUAUUCUUAAACUCUGCCUAAAUCAUUACAGGUGCAUCCUCCUGUUGACACUUCUCUACCCCUUUGAACCAGAGGUCAGCAAUGUCUUUUAACUGGUAGGCUGCCAAUCGAACCACCCGGUAGUCUAAACUCCCAGCAAAGUAGUAGCUUUCUCAACUUUCUCCAAGAAGUCCUAGGGGUCUGCAGUAGGAUCUGUACCGGUGAAAACUGGUGGCUCAAGUCUCACAAAUUUCAUGGCUAACUGCGCCAUGUCCUCAACCACUGGUGCUCCCAUCCCUCCUUGUUGGAGUGCCUGAAUACCCACUUGAAGGUUCUGUUGGGUCUUCAUAGCUAUGAGGUCAGCAAAAUUAUCCAUAGCCUUCCUAAUAUCAGUGAGGGUCUUCUCCAAGUGAUUUGGUUUUGGAGGUGGAGCAGGCACCUCAUCAACUUCUUCCUCGAGCUCCUGGACCAUCCUUGGAGACAUUGGAACUGGCACAGUCUAUGCUCUUGCAGCCUUCGUUGGUCGGCCCUAGGUCUAGCGAGUACCUCCCGAAGCCGCAUCGGGUAUAGGAGAAGCUUCCCGAUUCAUAUUACUGUCACGCGUGUUCACCCUCUUCUGCCAAUAGAUAUAGCGUACGAGUUAGGAAAUAUUUCUUAGCUCUAUUGCACAAUUCUAGAAUAAGAAGAAAGAGUGAAGUAUUCUUAUAAUGUCCCUAUAGCCUUCUCGAUAUAAGUGCGGUGCACAACACACCAAUAAGGAGAACUCUACCAGACAUGAUUCCAUAGACUUCCUAGGACUCGAAUUAGAACUUAUGGCUCUGAUACCAAGUUUGUCACGCCCUAAAAUCACGUGACCUGCACUCGUUACUCUACCCGACCCGAGUGAACCAUCCCAUAUAUUAAUACUCACCUAUGUGCCUAACUGGAGGAUGUGAAAGCCUCUUCAAGUACAGUCAUUUUAAGAUAUAAAACAAGACAUGAAUAAUAUCUUUAAGUAAAUAUUUUUCUUUGAAAGAGAACUCCAUAAAGAUAAAAGAAAGUUUUAUUCAUGCAUGCCAUAUUAGUAACCAUAGGAUUACAACCCAAAAUGAAUACUACUAUUGUCUAUGGAAUCUCUAUAACACGGAAUGGAAUAUCCAACCAAGGCAUAACCCGGUUGCUCAAAAGGAUAAUAAUAUAAUAAAGUUCUCCACGGGUACGAGUGUGGAGUCUCACCAAAAGCGUGAACAGAAAAUGUAGAGCCGCCCUAACCGCGCGACUCAAGCUGCUCAGGUCCAGUCCCUGAAAACAUAAAUGGAAAUGUGGCCGAAAGGCCUGAGCUCCACAUGCCUAGUACGAAUUAUGAACCAUUCCUCAAAAGAAAAUAGGACAAGACUUAAGAAGAUAUAAGAUAUGCAAUAACAAUUGACAUAAGAAAAGAAGCCUUCAUAUCAAUUAACAAUUUAGAAAAUAAAAUAAAAUAAUAUGGUAAAACAUAUUUCAAAAUCUUCCUUUAGCAUUAAUCUUUGUAAAUCAUGUUACAAUUUUUAUUUACCGGGAGUAUUAUACCAUCACCGACACGAAAAAAGGUCAACCAGGUUAUGUACCUAGCGGCAAGUAUCAUAUACCCUACUUGCUCAGGUCGUCUCAUCGUUGUGCCGCACGAAUCGACUCAGCCGUGCUAAUAAAGUAGCACAAUAGUACCCCCUAAUGGGAAGUACUCUGUCGUAGUUCCCAACCGUAAGGUAAGUUCUACGCGUACACCGACACGUGUAGUUUCAUGACCUAAUGAGAAAAAAUAUCCAAGGUCAAUCUCGGUGAACUUAAGUAACUCCCAAAACCUUUACAUUAAUCAAUGACAAUGUUUAUAGCCAAAUAAACUAUUUGAAAAUAGUUAAAUCCAAGAUAUUUCACAACUCAUGUAUUUCUAUUUCAAAAAUACUACAAAUGCUAUUCUUUAUUUUAGUUUUUAAAAAAAAAAUUGAAUAACAUUUCAAGAAAAUAAUAUUCAUAGAACUUAAAUCUUUUAUGAUGCAAGAAAUGAUAUAAUCCCAACUCGCUCGUCCCCACAAGCUAGGACUCACAUUUAGAAACUCAAUUUAAUCGUGUUUCGAUAUGAGUUUGGAGAAAAGCUCCGAGGGUAAUAAGUUUCAACGUACCUCAAAUAGUUUUCAACCUUACCCCAAAUGAUCCAAUAAUGCCGACGAGUCACAAUCUACAUAUAUGAACUCACAUAAUUGAAUAGCGCGUCACAACAAUGCCAACUAAGCCAACUAAUUGUCUAACACUUAAGUCCAACUUAAUAAGUUUAUCAAAAAUCCACAUUUCAUCAUUUGAAGGUCAAUCCUUGAAUUAUAACUUCAACUCAUUCAUUAAACUUGUUAUUGGAUCUAGUCGUUCCACUAGAAACUUAAAAUAACAUCGUUCAAGCAAGACCCAACACUAUUCAUCAUCCAUACCAAUCAACUCUUCUAGGAUUUCAUGAAUAGAUAUUUAAAUAUAAAUUUAUCUUCAUAAAAAUACUCUACUACGUCCAUGGAGUAUAAUAUAUAAGUUUGGAGUGAAGAAAUUACUUCUUUGUCAAACCCUAAAAAUUUCAAGAUUUGUGUUCUUGAAGUGCUCUUGAGAUUUUCUUCAAAUAUCUAUAAUUUUUGUGUAAUUGAAGAGUUAAGAGAUGUAUUUAAUAGACCAAAUCUACCAAGAAAGACAUUAAAUUCUUACCUUGAAGAAGUAUUAAUGGUAGAGAGCUCCCUUCUCUCUUUAAGUCUUUAAGAACCAACUCCCAAAUAAUAGCACAACCCUUCCCGUAAUAGCCUUUAAAGACAUUCAGCAGACUGCAGCCAUAAAGGAUGCGUCCCCGUCUACAUCGCGCUCGUCCUUCUCAUUCAGCAAAUUUGGACGUGAGGUUUGACGCUUUCAAUGCAGUUCACUGCCACUGCGUGAUGAGCUUUGCCUCAUUUCAUUUAUUUAGCAAUUAUGUCCAUCUCAUGCUUUAGAAUUUUUUAAUCUUUUCACCAUCAUCUGCCACCACUACAACAUUUGUUCAUUUGUAUAUUAUUCAAUUUCAUGGCAUUUAAUAAUUAAUUCCUUGGGUCCCAUAAUGUGUAUCUAUCCCAGCCCCUCCAAAAUUCAAAAUAUUCGUCGAAACCUUCAUCUUUGUGACAUUAAUAAUUUCCUUUCAAGAGUUGUUAAUAAGCUUUUUAAUUACCAUUAAUCAAACACUCAUUCUUUGAUAAAAAUAAUUAUUUUUAAGUAUCUCAAUAGCUUUGUUCUACUCAAUUAAUUCAUGUAACUUGGGUUUGAUCAAAUUACAUCCUUAAGCUCAAAUUAAAUCCAAAUUAUUCAUAGAAGUUAUGGGGCUUUAUAAAGACUCUUUCGAGUUGUGUAUUACCUUUUUUAAGCCAUAACAAAAGGAAUUCCAAUGAUUGAUUGGCCAACCUUAGGUCCGGCCAAUUAUAAAAUUUUAUUAGCCAACAACUUCUAACGAGCUUAAAAUAAUCUCCGUCAUGAUGGCGAGAAUCACUUCAAAUAUGAUACUUUACUUCAUUGUCUUGGGCUGGGUGCGAGUUUGUCCCCUAAUAUUUUUGAAAGAGUAAAAGACACGAAGAUAAAUGAUCGAGAGGUCAGAGGAUUGCAGUUGAUAAGCUGGUCAAAUUGUGCAAAAGCUGGAUACGAUAGGAAACACACACUGAUCUUUGACCAUAAUUGAGUUAUAUUAUUACUAAAAAAAUUCUAGUGGGUCCUCAAGUUGGGUUUAACAACCGUAUAUCCUAAACUACGGUAACAUGCACUGCAAAAUUUCUAUUUCUGAUUAGAGAAACUAGAGAUGUUAAAAUUCGUGACGCUAAUCUUCAAUUUUUAAAUCUUGCUCGUUCUGGAUAAACUUAAGGCUCAUAGAAACGAACGAGAAAGAAAUAAAGCAAAUAUAUGACAGAAACUCCAAAGAUCUAAACAUGGGCUGUUGGAAUACCACGAAUUGAUAUGACCGUAUUCAAAAUUACUGCAUACAUUGGAAGAAAUGUUCUACUGAGAAAAAAAAAUAAUGUACGAUACAACAACAUACAAAUUAAAAAUAAAUUUCGUACAAAUUUUAUGUAAAUUUGAAUAUUUACAACUACAUACAUAGUAAAAACAAAUCUUAUACAACUAAUUAUAUAAUAUAUAAUUUAUUUUAAACUUAUCUACAACUUUCAUAUAUUAUUUCUACACAGUUAAGUACAACUACAACAUCAUACAACUUAAAUAUAAUUUUCAUAUAAAUUUUAUACAAUAUGUUUUCUGUAUAUAUUUUUUAUAUGAUUUGUAUAUAUUUUAUAAGUGGUGUGUUCUUCUUCCUCUCUGAAAUUUCAGUCAAAACUUUAUCUCUUAAAACAAAUUUGAUAUAUAUCAAUAACUAUAAAAAGAUAGUAUUUAUAAAUUAAAUACAAAUUUAAUACAACGAUUCAUACAUUAUACGACUAUUUUUCAAAACUUUCAUACAAUAUUCAAAUAAAAAUAUAUAUAAUUACAACAUAAUACAACUUAAAUACAAUUUACAUACAACUUUAAUAUAAUUUCGUAAAUAUAUUGUAUGUUGUGUUCUUUUUUUUCGAGUUUCAAUCUAAAAUUCAUCCAAAAUCAAAACUAAUAUUCACUAAACACCCUCAAAAUUGAGAUAUAAACUAAAAAAAAUAUUUUCAAUUAUUUACAACACCACCCAAUCCAAACAAACAAUAGUUUUUGAAAACCCAAAUUCGAAUUCAAAGCUUCAGAGCUUUUUAAUGGCUGUCAAUGGUGGAGAAUCAAAUACCUUCAAAAUUUAUUGAUUUACAAUUUCAAUUCGAACAUCAAUUGUGCAACAUGAAAGGAAAUUGCUAAGUUAAAACUCUAUAUUAUAACAAUUGAAAUUCAUUGAUGAAUUUUCUGAGGAAAAAAAAGGACGAAAGCAGAAAAAAAUGAAGGAAGAAAAUUGGAGAAACAAAGGAGAGAAAGAGAGCAUGGAUGAGGAUUCCCUAUUCAAUUCCUAAUAUAAAGAGAUAAUAAUUUAAAACUAAUUUGUAUAGAAUUGGUAAAUUGUAUAUGCAUGUGUACGGCCAAAACCGAUUUGAGUCAGUCGUACGGACUGGUCGAGAUGAUAAUGUUUCGAUCAAAAUAUAUCCGCAUGACAAGCUCGGUCAAGGUCCGAAGUAGGGGCGGCGAGCUUCGAGCUCUAAGACCGAUCAAUGACAAGCUCGAUAUUAUUAUCGAGCUCAUAUCCAAAUCGAACUACGAGGCAAAACGGAGAUUAUCGAAGAUGCAUGGACCAACCAACACUCACCCCCGAAUACCGAGAUCCCAAGUCAGAAUCGAGCUCGGACCAAGACCGAAGGCUCGAUCCAAUACCGAGCUCGAGCCAGUAUCGAGCUCGCAGACUAGGGCCGUUGCAACAGCACUAUGGGAGAGAAUCUUGACGGAAAUCGAGGAAAAGACAAUACAUCAUGGGCUCUCCACUACGUAUUUUUUAUUGUAUAUAAAGUAGGUUCCCUCUACUAUAAGAGGGACAUGGAUUGUAAGCAAGCGGAGGACACUGGGACAAAAGAUCACUUCUCACACUAAAAGAUAUCCCCCUGUGCUUGUUUUACUUUAUCUUAUUCAUUCCUUUUACUUACUAUUCUUAUUCUCAUAGUCAAGAAUAUACAUAUUCUAUUUUUCUAUACGAUUUAUAUCAAAUUGUAUCGCAUAUCCUUAGAACCAUAAACAAAUCUAACGUUAUCCGAUUUUUCGGAUAAACAGUGCCUAUGUAAUUAAGUUAAAACUUGAUUAAGGAGAGUAAUAAAGUUUCAUAUAUAGUAUAGGAAGGUAAAAUUAUAUUGCAAAGCUACCUUAAUCCAGAUUUCAAGUGCUGAAAACUCUGCAACUUUUUUAGUUAUGAAAGGAAUACUUUUGGUGACAAUCUGGUGCGUACUUCGGUGAGUGAAUAUAAUUUUGGAUGCAUAUAGAUUUGGGUUGGGAGAGUUGGAGUUUACAAGGCCCAGNNNNNNNNNNNNNNNNNNNNNNNNNNNNNNNNNNNNNNNNNNNNNNNNNNNNNNNNNNNNNNNNNNNNNNNNNNNNNNNNNNNNNNNNNNNNNNNNNNNNNNNNNNNNNNNNNNNNNNNNNNNNNNNNNNNNNNNNNNNNNNNNNNNNNNNNNNNNNNNNNNNNNNNNNNNNNNNNNNNNNNNNNNNNNNNNNNNNNNNNNNNNNNNNNNNNNNNNNNNNNNNNNNNNNNNNNNNNNNNNNNNNNNNNNNNNNNNNNNNNNNNNNNNNNNNNNNNNNNNNNNNNNNNNNNNNNNNNNNNNNNNNNNNNNNNNNNNNNNNNNNNNNNNNNNNNNNNNNNNNNNNNNNNNNNNNNNNNNNNNNNNNNNNNNNNNNNNNNNNNNNNNNNNNNNNNNNNNNNNNNNNNNNNNNNNNNNNNNNNNNNNNNNNNNNNNNNNNNNNNNNNNNNNNNNNNNNNNNNAUUAUUUUGGGUGGCGCGACUAUACUGCGUAAAAAUCCCUAACUUCUUAAUUAUCUUUGAGCCAUAUCCCGUACCCAUGUUGAACAGUUGAUAUUAGACUCCAUGUAUAUACCCAUCGUGUAAUGACAGUGUGCCUUCACCCCAUGAUCUUAGUGCUCCGAUUGCGCCUUCUGUAUCUGUAACUCGGCAACUGAAGCAUGGAGGAGAAGAGCCGGAAAGGGCGAAACCUCUCUUUUCAUGUAUACAUGCAUAUACACAUAUGUUUGACAACGUAAAUUGUUCAAUAGGUCAAAUCUAGCGUUAAAGUGACUAAAAAAUUGACAACUUCAAGGGGUCGUUAUGCAUUCUGCCUAUACAUGUUUGUUUACCCGAAAAAUAGAAAGUGUUGGAUUUAUACAUAGUUCUAAGGAUACGCGGUAUAACUUGACGCAAAUCGUAUAAGCGAAAAUAUCGAAUAUUGACUAUCAAGAAUGAAAAUACAAACAAGGUUGGAGGGAGGAUGAUUUAUGAGUAAGCAAGAUGAAAAAAGUGUAUAAAGCUCAAAAUGAUAAUCUCUCAAUAUGGAGCAUAUGCACAGUAUCUGAGUUAUGGUGUCUUAAUGUCCCCUUACAGAGAUAAUAGACAUCCCUCUUAUAGCGGGGAAUCCUACUUUAGAUAUAAUUAAAAAUACACAGUGGGAAACCAUGAUAAAUCAACUUUUCCUUUUUUCCUGCCGAGAUUCUCUCCUUUAGUGCGGCUGCAACGGCUCUUGUCUAUAGGCUCGAUAUUGACUUAAGCUCGAUACUGAAUCAAGCUCGAUAUUGAUUCGAGCUCGAUUUUGACUCGGGGUCCGGUAUUGAUUUGGGCUCAGCAUUGGUCGGUCUUUGGCCCUCGAGCUCGAUAACAUUGCUUCAUAUCAUGGUUCGAUUUGGAUUCGAGUUCGGUAUUGAUCGGUCCCUAAAACUCGAAGUUAGGUAAGCCGGCUUCGGAUCUUAUCCCGAAAUUAUGAAAACGCUCUUUGGUCCAUUAUGUUCCCAUCUUGACCAGUCGUAUGAAGGCCAAAAUUAGUUUCGACCGUAUACAGAUAGUCCCCCCGUUUCUCGGGAAGGAUGUGGCGAGAAACGAUAUGAUUUCCCAAUGGCUCGAUCAGAUAUACACUGACGUUUGCAUCAAAUCCGACCAUGACAUAUGUGAUAGCUAUCCCGUCGGUUUCGUUUACCAAGGCAUUAAAUGCGUGUCAGACGGUCGUUGGUCACUGCUGAUAUUGAACUGUCAUUCCCCAAUCUAUAAAUAGCUUCUCUUUUUACCAUUCAUCACUUUUACAUCUCUAGUUUCUAAAUUUUCUAAGCUCUUUCUCGCAUCUUCUGAGUUUAUCUGCAAGCCUGUAAUUUUUAUUGCAAAAUCUUUCUUCUGUGAUUUUCACUGCAAAACCUUUCUUCAAAACACCACAUCUUUGUCAUCUAUUUCUAUUCUCGAUCUUCAAAACCAAAAUGGUGAAAACAUCAAAAACCGUUCCUCAAAAAGAAAAAGCUUCUUCUUCACAGCCCGUUACCGAUAAAACACCGGUGGAGCCACGACCUGAGGAGUAUGUUCCCGGGGCGUGUGUUCUUACCUCCGAUUUUAAGGUAGACAAAGGCUCGUUAGUUCCUGGCCGAUGCGAGCCAGUAUUGAGGUAUUUGUGUUCGAUAACUGAGGGGCAUCUCGAACAGAUAAGGAAAGAUUGCAACUGGGAGAACAAAGAAGUGGUAAUCCCGUCUCCCGAAGAAGAUAUUACUACUCAUGUGAAAGGGUUUUUAAGUGUGUAUUCUUACCCUUUCACGUUAGGUCCUCUCGACCCUGUUAUCAUUGAUUUUUGCCGUCAAUACCAAAUAACCCUAGGCCAAAUCCAUCCUUCUUCUUGGCGGAUCAUUAUUUUGAUCCGUUUCUUUAUGAACAAAAUCGAGGGGAUGCCUUUCACCCUCGACUACCUCAUUCGAUUGUACAGCCCCCGCCUCUUUCGAGGCAGGUUAAUAAACCUUCAGUGUUGGGCUACCAAGGUUCUGUUCUCGAGCAUAGAUGAGGACAAGGAUCGAGGCUAGAUGGGUAGGUUCGUUCGAGUGAAGACUUCAGACCUAAUACCGGCCGAGAAUAUGCCAUUUCCCGAGAAGUGGAACAUGAAGCGUAAGUGUAACUCCGUUGUUAUCUCCUAUUUUUUGCCCCUUCGUUUCUUUCUCACUGAUAUUCCCUUUUUGUGAUGCAGCGGUUCCUUGGAUGCCCGGUGCAGUUCCUGACCUUAAGAACUGGGUACGACACCUGGCUUCGACCUCUACAUAUGUCGAGCGCUCAUGGCGUGAUUUGUCAAAGGGCCGAUGGGAGGCUAAAAAUCAUGGUAAGCCUCUUUCUCGUAUCUUUGAUAAUUCGAAUGAAAUGUUUUCCAUACAUCUAAUCAAUUCUCUUGUAUGUAGGCUUGGGCAAAGAUGCGGUUUUGAGGCCCCCGUCUAUCAAGCCAAUGCUGAAGCCGCUCAGGUACAAGCAAGAGAGGCAGCCGAGACCGCUAAAUCUCGAGCAUAUUGGGUUGCUGAACUUGCCAAAUGUCGAUCUCGGAGGGAGACCCUCGAGGAGAUCCAUUCUCGAGGCUUCGAUCUCACCGAAGAGAUAAAAAGGGCCAAAGAGCUCGAAGCCGAUGCUGAAGCAUUAGCUUCCGAUGAUGACGAUGGUGAUGAUGGGAGCAAGAGUGGGUCUGAGAGCGGGGAGGAGACCGAUGGAGAAGAGACCGUCCCCGGAGAUAACCAGGAGACUUAGAGUUUUUUCUGUUUUUGUGUAGGGUCCUGUUCGGACGUUGUAAAUACUUUUGUAUAUAUAUAAAGAUCUUUUCCUUUCCCGAUUUGUCUUUGUCUUAUUUUCUGCCUUGUGAAGGUCUUGUUUCGUUCAUGCCUUAUGAAAGUUUUCAUAAGCUCGAGGCUUUAGGCAAUUUGAUCGAAUUCAGACUUUUUAGUCUUUAUAACCGAGUGAGUGCUUGCUCGAACUCGAAGUAAGAGUAUCCCUUAGGCUUAAUAAUCGAGUGAGUUGAUUGCUCGAACUCUAAGUAAUGUAGCCCGUAGGCUUAAUGGUCGAGUGAGUUGAUUGCUCGAACUCGAAGUAAUGUAGCAUGUAGGCUUAAUAGUCGUGAGUGAUUUCUCGAACUCGAAGUAAGGUAGCCCGUAGGCUUAAUAGUCGAGUGAAUUGAUUGCUCGAACUCGAAGUAAUGUAUCCCAUAGGUUUAAUGGUCGAGUGAGUUGAUUGCUCGAACUCGAAGUAAUAUAGCCCGUAGGCUUAAUGAUCGAGUGAUUUGAUUGCUCGAACUCGAAGUAAUGUAGCCCGUAGGCUUAAUAGUCGAGUGAGUUGAUUGCUCGAACUCGAAGUAAUGUUGCCCGUAGGCUUAAUGGUCGAGUGAGUUGAUUGCUCGAACUUGAAGUAAUGUAGCACAUAGGCUUAAUGGUCGAGUGAGUUGAUUGCUCGAACUUGAAGUAAUGUAGCUCGUAGGCUUAAUGGUCGAGUGAGUUGAUUGCUCGGACUCAAAGUAAUGUAGCCUGUAGGCUUAAUGGUCGAGUGAGUUUUUUGCUCGAACUUGAAAUAAUGUAGCCCGUAAGCUUAAUAGUCGAGUGAGUUGAUUGCUCGAACUCGAAGUAAGAGAGGCCCUAAGGCUUAGUAGUCGAGCCUGGCCUCGUUGAUUUUUCGGUUGGCAGUCCCCGAUUAAUGGGGUAAUGGUCGAUCCUUGAGCAUGUUUGCAUAAUAGAUCAUGGAAUAGAGGAUGGGUUUUGAGACAUGAGAAAUCGGCAAAGAAGAAGUUUCUCAUUAUGUCAUUAUACAUGUGUUCAUGUUUUGUACUAGGGAUCGAUCAAACUGCACGAGCAUGGUUCGUAUUGACCAUUUGGCUCUUAUAAUUUUUCCUAUCGAAACCCUGUUAUUAUGAAGUAACUUUCUGGCAUCAAAACUUGAUAAUCGAACUUACUUGAUAUAUUUGAGGGUAAUGCCCCCCAUUAUUCGAGGUUGAUUAUAAAGAGGCCUCGGAUACUGUUGAAUUGUUCUAAGUUAGUACGAUCAAUGGUUGCCUCAUUAAAAACCUUGCCGAAAAACCCAUUUGGGAUAAAACCGAUCUAAGAGAAAACGAGUGCAACACGUACUUUCAUGCCUAAGGAUUUGUGUUGAAUAACCCAUUCCUAUUCUUGGUUGAACUCUUGCAAGGGUUAAUUUCGAAAUAUAAACGAACAUGGGAGGGUCAUACCUUAACAGUAGUAUCAUUUUAGGUGUGACACGUUCCAAUUUCUUGGUAGUUGUUUGCCGUUUAUAACACCGAGCUUGUAGGAUCCUUUACCGACGAUUUCGAGCACCCGAUACGGCUCUUCCCAGUUUGGACCCAGUUUUCCUUCAUUUGGAUUUCAGGUGUUGAGGGUGACUUUCCUUAGCACUAAGUCCCCGAUUUUAAAAUGUCGAAGAUUGGUUCUUCGAUUAUACUAUCUUUCGAUCCGCUGUUUUUGGGCGGCCAAUCGGUCGAGAGAGGCUUCUCGAUGUUCAUCCAAUAAUUCGAGGCUAGUAUUCAUAGCCUCGUGAUUUGACUCUUCUGUUGUAUGUCGAAACCUCGCACUGGAUUCCCCGACUUCGACUUAAAUCAAGGCCUCAGAACCAUAUACUAAGGAGAACGGGGUUGCCCCCGUACUGGAUUUUGACAUUGUUCGAUAUGCCCAAAGGACUUCGGGUAAAAUUGCUCUCCAUUUUCCCUUAGCGUCAUUUAACAUAUUCUUUAUGUUUUGAAUGAUAGUCUUGUUCGUCGAUUCUGCCUGUCCGUUCCCACUAGGGUGGUACGACAUUGUUAAUAUUCUUUUUAUUUUAUAGUCUUCGAGGAAUUUCGUCACCUUGCCGCCGAUAAAUUAUUUUCCACUGUCACACACUAUUUUGGCGGAUAUCCCAAAUCGACAUAGGAUGUGAUCCCAGAUGAAGUCUAUAACCUCUUUCUCUCACUUUCUCGAACGCCUGUGCUUCAACCCACUUAGAGAAAUAGUCAGUUAUAAAUAAAAUGAACUUAGCUUUACCAGGGGCCGAUGGCAGAGGGCCGACGAUGUCCAUCCCCCAUUUCAUGAAUGGCCAUGGGGAUAUGACUGAAUGAAGUUAUUCUCCGGGCUGAUGGAUCAUCGGUGCAAACCUUUGGCAUUUAUCGCAUUUUCGAACAAGCUCUUUAGUGUUUUUUCCAUGCUAUCCCAGUAGUAUCCUGCUCUAAUGAUUUUGUGAACCAGUGAUUCGGCGUUGGAGUGGUUCCCACAAGUGCCUUCAUGGACCUCUCGUAAAACGUAAUCGGUAUCUUCUGGUCCUAAGCAUACUGCCAAUGGUCCAUCGAAUGUCCUUCUGUAUAACAUUCCAUCUUCAGCCAAUAUGAAUCGAGCAGCUUUGGUUUGUAGGGUCCUCGACUCUUUAGGGUCUGAUGGGAGCUUUCCAUCCUUCAAGUAUUGAAUAUAUUUAUUCCUCUAAUCCAAGUUAAGCUUGUAGAGUUUAUCUCGGCAUGACCUUCUUCGAUCACGAAUUUCGAGAGUUGAACGAUAGUCCCCGAGCUGAUCUCAUCUUCCUCGACCGACGACCCCAAAUUUGCAAGUGCAUCGGCCUCAUUGUUUUGUUCUCGAGGUACAUGCUGUAAAGUCCAUUCUUUGAAAUGGUGCAAAGUUACCUGCAGUUUGUCCAAAUACCUUUGCAUUCUAUCCUCUCGAACUUCGAAAGUUUUGUUUACUUAGUUUACCGCUAGUAAAGAGUCACACUUGGCUUCAAUGACUUCUGCUCCCAAGCUUUUGGCUAGCUCGAGACCUGUAAUCAUGGCCUCGUACUCGACCUCAUUGUUAGUCAACCUAGAGGUUUUGAUAGAUUGCCUAAUAGUGCUACCCGUGGGCAUCUUAAAACGAUGCNNNNNNNNNNNNNNNNNNNNNNNNNGAGUUCCUUUUCAACUUUGGGCACGAAGGUUGGCGUGAAAUCGGCUACGAAGUCCGCUAAAAUUUGAGACUUGAUGGCCGUCCGGGGUUGAUAUUUGAUAUCAUACCCACUGAGUUCGACAGCCCAUUUGGCCAAUCGGGCCGAUAGUUCGGGCUUGUGCAAAAUAUUUCGAAGUGGGUAAGUGGUUAAUAUGCAUAUGGGGUGAGAUUGAAAGUAUGGUCUUAACUUUCUAGAGGUGCUUAUCAGUGCAAGUGCCAAUUUCUCUAAGUGUGGAUACCUUGUUUAUGCUUCCCCUAAGGUUUAACUUAUAUAAUAAACGGGAAAUUGCGUGCCUUGCUCUUCUCGAACUAGGACACUACUUACCGCUAUUUCCGAUACUGCCAAGUACAAGUAAAGUUUCUCAUCUGCCUUCGGAGUGUGAAGCAGUGGUGGGCUCGAUAGGUAUCGCUUCAAUUCUUCUAAUGCCUGUUGGCAUUCCGGGGUCCAGGCAAAAUCGUUCUUCUUUUUGAGUAGAGAGAAAAAUCAGUGGCUUUGAUCCGAAGACCUCAAAAUGAAUCGGCCUAAGGCAUCUAUCCGUCCGGUUAGCUUCUGUACGGCUUUCACACUGUCCACGACGGUGAUGUCUUCGAUGGCCUUAAUUUUAUCGGGGUUUAUCUUGAUCCCCCGAUUCGAUACCAUGAAGCCUAGGAACUUGCCCGAACCGACCCCGAAAGCACAUUUCUCGGGGUUGAGCUUCAUGUUGUAUUUCCUUAAAAUCUCGAACGUUUCCUGCAAAUAAACCAAAUGGUCCUCUGCACGCAAGGACUUAACUAGCAUGCCGUCAAUAUACACUUCUAUUGAUUUACCUAUUUGUUCUUCGAACAUUUUAUUUACUAGGCGUUGGUAAGUAGCUCCUGCAUUUUUUAGCCCGAAGGGCAUUACAUUAUAACAAUAGGUUCCAUACUUGGUGAUAAAUGAAGUCUUUUCUCGGUCCUCCGGGUUCAUUUGGAUUUGAUUGUACCCGGAAUAGGCAUCGAGAAAAGUAAGGAUCUCGUGGACGACUGUGGCAUCGAUCAUGCGAUCGAUGUUAGGCAGUUGGAAAGAAUCUUUGGGGCAUGCCUUGUUUAAAUCUUUAUAAUCUACACACAUUCUAAAUUUGUUCCCUUUUUUAGGCACUACAACUACAUUGGCUAACCAUUCAGGAUAUUUCACCUCCCGAAUGGACCCUAUUUUGAGAAGUAAGUUACCUCAUCCUUUAUGAAUCCAUGCUUUAUUUCGAACUGGGGUCUCCUCUUUUGCUUCACCAUUUUGAACCCGGGGUCCAGGCGUAGCCGAUGCGUCGUUAUCUCUGGUGGGAUCCCUGUCAUGUCUAAAUGGGACCAAGCAAAACAAUCUAUGUUAUCAAUAAGAAAUUGGAUAAUCCUUUUCCUGAGUUCGGGGGUUAAUCUCGUUCCCAGGUAUACUUUUCGCUCGGGAAGGUACUCGAUCAAUAUAACCUGUUCCAGCUCUUCGACCGUUGAUUUGGUGGCGUCGGAACCUUCGGGAACAAUAAAAGUUUGAGGGGGUCAGAAAAUCCUCCUCUUCUUCUUCUAUCUCCUGCUUCCCUGAUUCGGUCGAGGCUGAUGGUUGUGAUUGCUAUUUGACUUCCUCUUUACCUUUGAUGCUCGACCUCUCCGAGGUUGACGGUGUCGAUAUAGGUGUUACCUCAUCGACUGCAAACAUUUCCUUCGUAACAUGCUGCUCCCCGUAUACUGUUUUUACACCGUCCGAUAUCGGGAAUUUCAUUACUUGGUGGAGGGUCAAAGGGACUUCCCUCAUAUUGUGGAUCCAAGGCCUUCCAAGCAGGGCAUUGUACCUCAUGUCACCCUCGAUUACGUGGAACUUGGUAUCUUGAAUUGUUCCAGCCACGUUCUCCGGUAGAAUAAUCUCCCCUUUAGUUGUUUCACUGGCCAUAUUGAAGCCGUUUAAAACCCGAGCUGCGGGCACGAUUUGAUUCUGUAGGUCAAGCUGUUCCACGACCCUCGAUCGGAUGAUAUUCGCUGAACUACCUGGAUCCACUAAAACACACUUAACCUGAACUUUAUUUAAUAAGAUAGAAAUUACCAGAGCAUCGUUGUGGGGCUGAGAAAUGCCUCUUGCUUCUUUGUUGUUGAAUGACAAAGUGCCUUCGGGCGCAUAAUCUCGGGUUCAUUUUUCCCUAGUGGUUGAUACCUUAGUAUGUUUGAACAUGGGUCCCUGUGGAAUGUCGACCCCACCAAUGAUCAUAUGAAUGACAUAUUAGGGUUCCUCCUGUUCAUUUUUUCUGUUGGCGUCCCUUUCUCUAAAAUGAUUCUUGGCUCGAUUGUUGAGGAACUCUCGAAGGUGGCCCUCGUUAAAUAGACGGGCUACCUCCUCUCUUAAUUGUCUACAAUCCUCAGUCUUGUGACCAUGCGUGCCAUGGUACUUGCACAUCAAAUUCGGGUUUUUUUGGGAAGGAUCGGUCUGUAUGGGUCUGGGCCACCUAGUAUCUUUGAUCCUUCCGAUUGCCAAUACAAUGCCCGAUGCAUCGAUGCUAAAAUUAUAUUCCGAUAACCGAGGUGCCUCUGUGGGAUCGACAUACUUGUCAAAAUCACUUCUGCUCAUAAGUCCCCGAGAACUCUGUCCUCGAUCACUUCUUCGAUUGUUCCGGGCGGAAUUGCGUCCUGAACCAUUGUUCCUUCGAUCUACAUUAUAUGGUUGAUAUCGGUCUCUGGUCGACCUUGGCUCCAUGUUGAUGUCCUUCUGGUUCUUAACUACCGACCUAUUUGGAUGUACUGAACCGGAAGGGGCUCUUAGUUGGUCGUCCUCGACCCUGAUCUUCGAUUGAUAUCGAUUGUGCACAUCUGCCCAGGUCACGGCCGGAUAUUCGAUCAAACUUUGUUUCAACUGACAUGAUGCUAUCGAACUCCGCUCGUUCAACCCUUGGGUGAAAGCUUGAACGGCCCAAUCCUCUAUGAUCGGUGGCAAUUCCAUGCGUUCUAAUUGAAAUCGGGACACGAACUCCCUCAGCAUUUCAUUAUCCCUUUGCCUUACCUUGAAAAGGUCUGAUUUCCUCGUUGCGACCUUUAUGGCCCCUGCGUGUGCCUUUACGAAAGAAUCUGCUAACAUGGAGAAUGGGUUGAUGGAAUUUGGUGGCAGGUUGUGAUACCAAAUCAUUGCUCCCUUCGAAAGGGUCUCUCCGAAUAUUUUCAACAGCACAAAUUCGAUUUCGUCAUCUUCUAAAACAUUACCCUUUAUGGCACACGUGUAAGAGGUGACGUGUUCAUUAGGGUCGGUCGUCCCAUUAUAUUUAGGAAUAUCGAGCAUGCGGAAUAUUUUGGGGAUCGGUUUUGGAGCUGCACUCGGGGGAAAAGGCUUUUGCACGAAUUGUUUGGAAUCCAACCCUUUCAACAUUGGUGGUGCCCCGGGAUUUGAUCGACCCUUGAGUUAUAUGUUUUCACUUUUUUAUCAUUUGCUUCGAUCCGUUUUGUGAGUUCCUCGCGUAUCUUAGCAAUUUCGGGAUUAGUCCCUGAUUCUUGCUCAUUUGACCUUACUAUAGCUAGCUCCGUUCUGUGGGUGAUUUCUCGGGGUUGAUUGGGCUCCGGUCUACUCGGUACCUGGGUUUGACUCUACAACUGAACUAUCGCUACCUGUUGAGCUUGUAACAUUUCGAAAAUCAUACGCAAGCUGAUUCUGUUUUCCUCAACGUUAUGGGUGUCUCGAGCUGUAGAUCGAGUACUACCAUGAAUGCUAUUUUCAGGUUUAGAACGUUAGUUUGCCUCAAUAGCCACAUGCGAAUUAACGUCUAAUAGUACUUCGACUCGGCCCCAACGGCAUCGAACUCGGCCCCAACGGCAUCGACAAGCGGCCUUUCGGCCCUGGGCGUCAAGUUGUUAUUCUCACCUUGAAGGCCAGCUUCGUUGUCGAUAGUAAGGCCAUUAAUUGAGAGUUCGUUGGGUCUAAUCCGAAAUCAAAGACACUUUCAAUGACAAGCGUAAAAUGGUGUGUUUUGCAGAUUUGUAUCAAAUAACCACUGUUAUCCUUAGCCCCACGGUGGACGCCAAACUGUUUACCCGAAAAACGGAUAGUAUUGAAUUUAUACGUAGUUCUAAGGGUACGCGGUAUAACUUAACGCAAAUCGUAUAAGCGAAAAUAUCGAAUAUUGACUAUCAAGAAUGAAAAUACAAACAAGGUUGGAGGGAUGAUGAUUUAUGAGUAAGCAAGAUGAAAAUAAUGUAUAAAGCGCAAAAUGAUAAUCUCUCAAUAUGGAGCAUAUGCCCAUUAUCUGAGUUAUGAUGUCUUAAUGUCCCCUUAGAGAGAUAAUAGCCAUCCCUCUUAUAGCGAAAAAUCCUACUUUAGAUAUAAUUAAAAAUACAUAGUGGGGAACCAUGAUAUAUCAACUUUUUCCUUUUUCCUGCAGAGAUUCUCUCCUUUAGUGCGUCUGUAUCGGCUCUUGUCUAUAGGCUCGAUAUUGACUUAAGCUCGAUACUGAAUCGAGCUCGAUUUUGACUCGGGGCCCGGUAUUGAUUCGGGCUCAGCAUUGGUCGGUCUUUGGCUCUCGAGCUCGAUAACAUUGCUUCGCAUCAUGGUUUGAUUUGGAUUCGAGCUCGAUAAUGACUUCGAGCUCGGUAUUGAUCGGUCCCUAAAACUCGAAGCUAGGUAACUCGGCUUCGGAUCUUGUCCCGAAAUUAUGAAUACGCUCUUCGGUCCAUUAUGUUCUCAUCUCGAUCAACCGUAUACAAUGUUUUCAAGGUUUUUUCAACCAUAUGUGUGCGUAAGCGCCUGUUUGUUUCGAAAACAAGGUGCAAAAAGUUUAUCAAAAAUCCUUUCAAGGUUGAAAUUGUGUUUAUUGAUAGUAGUUUGCAAGAAAUAACCAACAACAACAACAAAAAGAAUCUCCACCUUGUUUUGGGAACAAACUUGGACAGCUUAAACUUUGUGAAGUGUAUAAAACUUGACACUUGACACUUGACACUUGACACGAAGUGUUUCUUCUUAGUUUUCGUAAGUAUUUAUUUUCCUGUUAAACACACUUUUAUGCAAGAACAUGAUUUUCCUUUGCUAAUACUAUUGUCUCAUGAAUUUUACCUUUUUAUCAUCUUCUUCACAUCCAUUCGCCCAAAGAAGUGUGGAAAAGAAAUAAUUUAAUUCUUGCCACUUUUCACUUUUCGGAAUUGUACGAAAAAUAGUUUGCUUCCACAAAAGCAAUGAAAUGGCUAUCAUGAAUGUGCGCAAUUGUUGGUGAAACCAUCAAGUGUACUAUUGGAUUGGACAUUUGCCACUCUCAACUUUCUAUAUAAGAAGAGCUUGCCUAUAAAGAUUUGAUCAUGAAGUCAUAUCUUUCCUAAAAUUUAUCCCACACGUCAUGCUCCCUUGGAUCCUCAGGACCCUCCACGAAAAAAAGCAGGUGAGGCCCCAAUUCUUGAUCGGAGGGGACAUCAAAGGACUCUGCCCUUCCAUCCAUCGGAUAGAUAGAGAGGGAUGGCAGAGCUUUUGAUUUUUUUAUGUUGUUAAAGAGUUGAACAAUGAUUUUUUUAGUAUUGUCAAAGAUUUGAACAAUGAAAAUAGAUAGCGAGUGUUUGAUCGAAUUGAUUAUGUUUAAUGAUCUUGAACAUGAAUGGUCUUGAUUUUUUUAUCCUUACUUGCCUCAUGAGCAAAUCUUUAAGGUCAACAGUCAAAAAUAUUGUUCAUCGGGCAAAGAAAGACAAUACUCGUUAAACUUAAAGUUAUGUUCAUGAAACAAGCAUGGUUAGAAAAUUAAAAUCGCUCACUUCCAAGGCCAUUCUUGUGAAUUAUCCCAUAAAAAGGUUGUUGAAACAAGAAUGAGGCCGAUCAACUUUUGCCUUAACAUGGAUUACAAUGCCCUUUUGUUAUUUUUGCACUCAGUUUCUUAAAAAGAAUCUCAUGUUUGGGAACCGUUUUAAAAUGGCCAUCCUAUCAUUUUUAUUUAUCCAGGAAUUGUAUUGCAUUAGCAGAUAUCAAUGUUCCAUUUAUAUAAGAACAAUGAACUUACUUACACGUUGAGCACAAACAGUGUCGUUUUUCUCCUUGUGCGCAACCUAAAAUAAUUCUUAUUGACAUGGCUCAGAACCACAGAUUGAGUAUUUUUAUUUCUUUUUCUUCGUGUGACUUUUAUUUCCUUAUGAAAAGUAACAUACAACUUAACAUCACGUAUCAAUAUCAU
RNAcentral lists this long non-coding RNA (25211 nucleotides) under Nicotiana tabacum (common tobacco). Its description in RNAcentral is "long non-coding RNA (NTAB_LNC017285)". The record is from RNAcentral. Lineage: Eukaryota; Viridiplantae; Streptophyta; Magnoliopsida; Solanales; Solanaceae.